This 376-nucleotide ribosomal RNA is filed under the name uncultured bacterium. RNAcentral's name for it is "bacterial SSU rRNA". It matches the Rfam family "Bacterial small subunit ribosomal RNA", at positions 521 to 896 of the family's 1533-position model. The record is from RNAcentral.
UAAUACAGAGGGUGCGAGCGUUAAUCGGAAUUACUGGGCGUAAAGCGUGCGUAGACGGUUAUUUAAGUCGGGUGUGAAAGCCCCGGGCUCAACCUGGGAAUUGCAUUCGAGACUGAAUAGCUAGGGUACGGUAGAGGGAAGCGGAAUUUCCGGUGUAGCGGUGAAAUGCGUAGAUAUCGGAAGGAACAUCAGUGGCGAAAGCGGCUUCCUGGACCAGUACCGACGUUCAGGCACGAAAGCGUGGGGAGCAAACAGGAUUAGAUACCCUGGUAGUCCACGCCCUAAACGAUGUCGACUGGUUGUUGGGGGUUUGACACUCUCAGUAACGAAGCUAACGCGUGAAGUCGACCGCCUGGGGAGUACGGCCGCAAGGUUA